Capsicum annuum is the source of this 2804-nucleotide long non-coding RNA. RefSeq lists it as uncharacterized. The transcript is spliced from 4 exons. The record is from RefSeq and is a predicted model, not a curated record. NCBI's taxonomy places the organism in Eukaryota, Viridiplantae, Streptophyta, Magnoliopsida, Solanales, Solanaceae.
UUAUUCAAUAUUCAUUCAAUACAAUCAAUUCAAUUAUCAUUAAUUCAUUCAGAUUAUUCAAUCCAAUCAUUCAUUCAAAUUAUCACUCAAUUUUUCGCUAUCUUUUUAAAACUUGAAUUCAAUUUUUAACAUAUGUUUUUGCGCCUUUAUUCGAACAAAGGCAAAGUUGCGGCUUUUCUUAAUUAGAUCCAAGUUGAUGGACAUUACUUUCUCAUCAUCUUCAUCUUUAGAGAGCUGUUAAUGGAGGUUUAAAGCCCUGAAUUUUACUGUUAUGAGGCUCCAGCAUCGUAAAUUAUCAAAAAAGUUGUUUUUCUGGUACUAAAUUUCAACGUGACUUUGUAUGUCUACAACACUUCAAGAAGGAUUUUUCUUUAGAUUUUUUUUUUUUAUUAUCGAUUUUCACCUUCUUUUUCAGAUUUGAAUUACUAUUUUAUCUAUGUAUUUUGCCUAAUCAUUUUCUUUGGGUGAUACACUGUAGAGGUUAUCCUUUAGAUCUCAAAUUUUUUAGAAACUCGAUCAUCUUUAUUCAGAUGAAUCAGAAGCUAUUGUUGCAGGCAAAUUCAUUGGGUAUACCAAAGAGGCAUAUUAUGUGAGUCCAGAGAAAGCCUAUGACCUUCUUUUUCCUUAUCUUUCUUGAAACAAUCUGCUUUAAUCCACUUCGAAAAUUAGUCAGUCAAAAAUAAAAUUUUACCUGACCAAUCAUUAUUGGGAGUGACUCUACAAUAUGUUCGUCCCUCUUUCAUGAAUGGACAUGGUGAAAUCAUGGGGUGUAGAGACUUCGCUAGUUAGAUGUAUGAUGAAUGUGUGUCGCUGGGGCUUGUUCCAUUUUUGAAUGAAAGUUUUAGUGUCUUGCUUCAUUUUUGACCAAUAAUAACCAAAUCUAAUUAAUUGUUGAACAAGAGCUUGGCAUCAGAAUGAUUAUUAGAGACACCUGUGUGGACUUCUUUUAUUACAUACCCAGCCUUUGUUAAGCCUAGGCAUCCGAUCAAUAGACCGGUAAAAGAUCUUUAAUAACCAAAUGAUCAACUAUAUUAAAGAUCUUUUACCAAGCAGAACAAUGCAACUUUUGUGCAGAGUACUCAAAAUUCCUUUUCAUCUGUCGGCAACUUCCCUUCUUUUAGAUAGUCAAUGUAAUGAUUCCUCCAAUCUCAUAUCAAGUCUUUAUGAUUUAUUUUUAGCUAUGUCAAGGGUUGAAUUGAGAAAUUUAAUUACCUUUUCAGAGUUUGACUCCAUAUUCGUGAAGUUCCCAAGGUCACUAAAGUAUUCGCCUCGGUGUUUCGUGGUAUGGGGGUCACUAUCCAUUCCUUGAAGUGACUCAAGGUGUCGAAUGUCUUAUUGAAAUAUCUUUUCAUUUAUUCGUCUUUAAACUAGAAAGCUCCAUUGAUCUGGUUCACCUUCAGAAGAGAAUUAUAUCUUGCUUCAAUGGUUUUCAUUCCUCGAUUUUGGACUAAAUUCAUACCAGCAAUCAAUGUCUCAUACUCGAUUUUCAUUGUCAGUAACAUGAAUAAUUUGAUGUCUUACCAGAUGACAUUUUCGGAAAGAGUUUUUAAAAUAAUACCUAAUUAUGAAACUUGUAUUUUGGAUGUCCUAUCCAUACAUAGUUCUAUAUGUUAGGCUCAACUCCAAUGAUUCUAACAUGAUCUUUUCCAUAAUAACUCUUAAGUUCAAAUUAUAUUCUUAGGUUCAAUUAAUUCAAUUGUAAGUUCAAAGUUUAAUUCAAAUUUACACAAUAGUAUUGUAACUAAUCAAAUAUCAAAGUAACAAGCUAGUUAAUAAAUUUAUAUCAAUUUCAAUUUAAAUUCAAUUCAUAAUGCUCAUUCAACAAUCAAUAUGUGUGUAUGUAUGUAUGUAUGCACAUAUAUAUAUGUAUGUAUAUAUUACCCUUAUAUAUAAGCCAACAAGCUGUUGGACCAACACAAUUCAAAAUAACUGUACAAAAUGCAAUACAUAUUUCACAAAAGUAUCUAUGAAGAAUGCUCUAUUCUUCGUUAAUUUCGAAACAUGUGUAUUGUAAUACAGAAAACAGGUGAACUUUCUCUCUCUGUGAACCAUUAUCAAUUAAUCUAAAUCUCUUCAUCUCCUUCUCUACUUCUCUGUGUUCUUCAUAGCAUUACUAUUGAUUUCUUUGAACCAUCUAUGGUAAUUGAAAAUUCGCAACUGCUUCUUUGGGGUUAUGGAAAGGAAAGAGAGACACAAUUACUCUUUGAGAGUUUCAGUUAAGCUGGGAAGGCUUUCAAUUGGAUCAGUGAAGCAAUCAAACAGUGGAUUAGAGGAUCUACUGACAUCUACGGAAGGAGAGAAACAUGAUUAGGAUUGGUUCCUCACUCUUCCAGGAACUCCUCAUGUUCCUUCAUCAGAUUGAAGUGAAUCAAAACCUGUUUCAGUGGCUCUAAGAGACAGCUCAUUCGUCAGAUCGGCCUCCACUAAUUAGGCUUCAAGGGUUAUAUGGUUGAUGAGAAGGGCGCCUCCCCUUCCUUGCUGCGGUAUUGGUCUUGGAUUAAAUCUGAAACUAUUGUACUAAUGCUAAUGUGGAUGCAUCAGCGAAUGCUGUAGAAGUUGCUGGAGAAGCAACCCGCAGAACAAUCUGAAGUUGAUGAUGCUGAGGCUCUUACAAUUCUAGGCUAAAGUAUUCGGACGCACACUCUUCUAACUCCCUGUAUCAGCUAUUGUUGCGAUGGGUGUUUGUUGUUACGACUUAGAAUUGGUUGUUAAUUAGGAAAAUAUCAUCAAAAUAGGAUUGUGUGUCUAUAUAAAUACUUUAUCAUCUAUACAGUUGCUCGAUAAAACAAUUAGCCGUAAUUCAA